GCUCUCAGGUCGGUUACUGCUGUGCUGCACGUGUGAGAGGGCACGGCUGUUUGCGAACAGUACUGGGAAAGAAGUGCUAAAAGGAAAACAAACAAACAAAUAAAUGCUCUCUCUUUGGUAAUCCUGCUCAGAUUUCACAUUUUCAGCUGUCCCUGAGAAGUGUGACUCGUUUAAGUGACACUGAGACCACCCCUCGCAGCCCCUCCUGGUGCACGGCUGCCUGCAGUGCAUUGCCCAGCACGACGGGCAGUUGGACUUCAGGUAUCUCCAUGGAGAGACACUCCGUAACCUCUCUGGCUACAAUAUAAACACAACUAAUUACCCCAGGACCUCUGUUGGGAAUGGCUGUGGAGGUGAGGGUUCUCAAAAGUACAGAGGGACCAUCCACUAAAAUUGGAGUCCUACUUCAGCAUGGAAAAUGCCAAGUUUCACCUACUCCAAAACUGUAUGAAGCAAAUGGGGGCACGCAUUGCUUUAUGUUCCCUUGGCUGACCUGAGGAGACACAGCUGAUCAGGAGCAAUUCACAUGGUUACAUGAAGCACCUCUCAUGCUAGUGGCUAUUCUAUGUGGUCUUAUGGUCAAACUCUACUUGGCAACACUUGCCUUUGUAAAACUUGCAGCUUGUACCGGAGCUAAUCACACUACUGUAUAUGUGUGCCAUGAUUUUGAGAGGCGGGCAUACAGCUCUUUUGACAAGUAACUUUCUUUAGAGGAUGACUGUUGGGUGAAGUCCACGGUGACUGGAAAAAGGGAAACAUCACUCUUUUUUUCUGAGAAAGAGACAAAAGAAGAUCCAGGAAACUACAGGCUAGUGAGCAUCUCAUCUGUGCCUGGGAAGACCAUGGAACAGGUCCUCCUGGAUGUUACGUGUGACAGUGAGGUGAUCCAAGAUAGCCAGCACAGCUUCACCAAGGGCAGACUGCACCUCACCAAUGUGAUGGCCUUCUGUGAUGGCAUCAGUAGACACAAGAAGAGUAACUGAUGUUAUCUACCUUAAUUUCUGGCCUUUCAAAUGGUCCUACAACAUAUUCUUAAUUCUAAAUUGGAAGUAUACAGAGGGGUGGCAGCAGGGAGAGGGAGGGGAUUGUCCCGGGUUACUCUGCCCUCAAGAGGUCCCAUGUGGAGUACUGCAUCCUGAGGGGCCCCAAUACAGGAAAGGUGCGGAGCUGUUGGACUGGGUCCAGAGGAAAACCAUAAAGAUGAUUGAAGGGCUGGAAUAUCUCUCCUAUGAAGAAAGGCUGAGGCAGCUGGGCUUGUGCAGUCUAGAGGAGAGAAGGCUCCAAGGAAACCUCAUAAUGGCUUUCCAAUACUUAAAGGGAGCUUAUAAGCAGGAGAGAACAAACUUUUUACAUGGGCAGAUAGUGGUAGGAUGAGGGGGAACAGUUUUAACCUAAAAGAGAGGAGAUGUAGAUUAGAUGAUAUUAAGAGGAAAUUUCUUACUCAGAGGGUGGUGAGGCACUGGCACAGGCUGCCCAGGGAAGCUUUGGAUGCUCCGUCCCUGGAGCCGUUCAAGCCCAAGCCCUGGGCAGCCCAAUCUAGGGUGGGGGGGGAGGCAGCCCUACCCACAGCAGUGGGUUGGAACUGCAUAUCUUUAAGGUCCCUUCCAGCCCAUGCAAUUCUGUGAUUCUGUGGACUGUCAUUAGCCUUCAAGACUCAUUUGUUAUGGAUGACCUACCAAAGUCUCUCGGGUGCUCUCAGAGACAGGACAUAUGAAAGGGAAAGAAAUAGUUAAGUACAGUCUUACUAGUGCAGUCUAUAUACAACAGUGAUGCUUUUGAUACCACUGUGAAUUGUAUCCAUCAAUUUCUGUUGCAAGAUCUUUUCAACAAUGGAGAAUCAAGAAAAAACCUGAAUCAUAGAAUCAUAGGAGCCUAUGCUCCUUCUAACCCCUUUAUUUCUACUUAGCUUCAGAAUUAACACACAAAACAAAUAUUUAAACCAUCUCAUUCCUACAGGACAAACUAAAAAUUAGCAGGUGGAAUAAGGAGAGAGAAACUGAGCAUAUUUUUUGGUCUGUGACUUCCUUGGAAGUUUCCACAAGCUCGGAAUUUGAUGGUGAAAUGAACAAAGUACGUAACAGUCCACUCAGCAUUAACACGUGUGUCACCAGCACCCCAAAAUACACACUCACUGAAUUGUGUCACAUGCUGCAAGUAUAGCAAACUGUGGGGCUUAUUUGAUAUGCCAACCUGCUGGCAUGUACAUGAAAAAAUAAAAUAAUUAUCACACUACAUCUUUUGCUGCUUCACAAGGAAUGCCCAUAAAACAUCGUUACUGCCAUGACAGAUUUGUACAGCACUGAACUUGUAAAACAGAUGUUUGAAUAAGCAAGCAGACACGCUUGCCUUUGUUCCAAAUCAUCUCCUGUUACUCAGCUUUCAAGUCUGUGUGUGCAUCACUUAUAUCUGAAAGACACCUACCAAGCUGCUCUAUUUCAGUACCGGUUCUAUUCACUGUGACCACGUGUUUGAUGGAUAUAAUAAAGUGAAUGGCCUGAAACAAGAAA
Molecule: long non-coding RNA, 2507 nt
Organism: Gallus gallus (chicken)
Lineage: Eukaryota; Metazoa; Chordata; Aves; Galliformes; Phasianidae
Exons: 2
Source: RefSeq, a predicted model, not a curated record